Molecule: ribosomal RNA, 408 nt
Filed under: uncultured bacterium
Lineage: Bacteria
Description: partial 16S ribosomal RNA
Rfam family: Bacterial small subunit ribosomal RNA
Source: RNAcentral
GACGAACGCUGGCGGCGUGCCUAAUACAUGCAAGUCGAGCGAAGCGGCGGAUGGGUGAGUAACGCGUGGGUAACCUGCCCUUAAGUCGGGGAUAGCAUUUGGUAACAGAUGCUAAUACCGGAUACUAAAGGAUGGACCUGCGAUGCAUUAGCUAGUUGGUAAGGUAACGGCUUACCAAGGCGAGGAUGCAUAGCCGAGUUGAGAGAAUGAUCAGCCACACUGGGACUGAGACACGGUCCAAACUCCUACGGGAGGCAGCAGUAGGGAAUAUUCCACAAUGGACGAAAGUCUGAUAGAGCAACGCCGCGUGAGUGAAGAAGGUUUUCGGAUUGUAAAGCUCUGUUGUUGGUGAAGCGGUAAUCAACCAGAAAGCCACGGCUAACUACGUGCCAGCAGCCGCGGUAAUAC